AUGGAAGGUUUGAUUCCUUUUAUUAUUGGCGCCAUCAGCAGAAAGCAAAAUUGUAAUGAGCACGUAGUGAUGAAGCAUUCAGAUAGUUCAAAGCGUUUGCUAUUGGGAUCAGCUAAUAACUCCUUCAAUGGAUCUUUUCGUACAAGAGCCUGCGGAUCUGGAUCUGAUUAUUUUCGUCCCACUUCUGCUCCUGCAGUCACAGCCAACAAUAACCAGCUUCGCAAUCGCAAACACUAG
Non-coding RNA from Vicia faba (fava bean), 237 nucleotides. NCBI's taxonomy places the organism in Eukaryota, Viridiplantae, Streptophyta, Magnoliopsida, Fabales, Fabaceae. The record is from the annotation of a GenBank genome assembly.